Long non-coding RNA from Dermochelys coriacea (leatherback sea turtle), 389 nucleotides. RefSeq lists it as uncharacterized. The transcript is spliced from 4 exons. The record is from RefSeq and is a predicted model, not a curated record. Lineage: Eukaryota; Metazoa; Chordata; Testudines; Dermochelyidae.
GGUGAAGAGAGCUAGAGAAGAGGAAGUAUUGCUGAAUCCUGAGUCUCUUCCUAAGUAAGCACUGAUGGCACCACUCCAGAUGCUUAAGACGGCUUCGAUCUCUGCCAAUAAAGACACAACAUAGCAACAUUCUGAAGGAUGCACUGGCACAAUGGAUCCCAUGUUCAAGCAAGACUGGUGUCUGGGGGAGUGGAUAAAUGACUAUAUUACCCCUUCCUCAAUGCAAUCUUCAUCUUCCUUAGGAGACUAUGAAUUAAAGAAUGAAAUGAAUUCUCUUCAGCUCACCACCAGCACAUGUGGAAAACUAUGUAUACACCUUUAACUGAGAGGUGACUUGUAGGAAAAACAGAAAAAAAUAAUAUGUUUUAAUUUCCUAUAAAGGAAGACAA